Molecule: long non-coding RNA, 2482 nt
Organism: Piliocolobus tephrosceles (Ugandan red Colobus)
Lineage: Eukaryota; Metazoa; Chordata; Mammalia; Primates; Cercopithecidae
Exons: 6
Source: RefSeq, a predicted model, not a curated record
GCGGGCGGGCACGUGGGGCUUUUUCGUCCCCGGCGUCCGGUCGCGCUGCAUCGACCCCCACCCCGGCCCCUGCCCCCCGGCGGCGGCCGGUGGGCAGAAAGACCGAAACCCACUCAUGGCCGCCUCUGGAAUCGCGGCUCUGCUGUUUGCGGGGCGUGCUAGAAACGUGGUCCUUGAAAGAAUGGCGUCCAUUUACAUAAUGCUUUGUUUGCGUUUCGCAAGUUUUUUUCGGUUAAAGCCACAGAAACCCCACCUCCUGCCCUUGUGUCGUUUCCACCGCGGCACCCUUUUCCGACAUUAGAAACAAUAGUGUGCGCCUGUGGAGGCCUUGUUUAUUCAGAGGCUGCCGGCCAGGGCUUCAGGACGUUUCUGCGGCUUUUACUGCGCGGCCUGGGCUCCCGCGGCUGCCUUUCGGGCCCAUGGGCGCAGCCACCGCACCCGACUCUCCGGGGGCGGCCCCGUCAGGGCCCGCCAUCUUGGAAGGCCUUUUUUGCAGGUUCCUCCCGCUGAGGAAGUGUCGUUUAAGACGCUGGCAUACGAGUUGUGAUUUCUGCCCUUUCCCCUUCCUCCCUGGGCUAAGCCAGACCAGAAAGGGCCCCGUGCGCAACGUGCUUCAGAAUGCCUCAGGGAAAGCGGCUAACGUGGCGCUACUCCGCCUCCCCUGUUCCUUCCCCGUGGGGCGGCCGCCAUGUUGCCCGAACACAAAAUGGCGACACGUGGCUAGCAUCCGUCGUCAACGAGAAAUUGGGGUUGGCCCGAAAGCUCUAGAAUGUACCCCCGUUCCUCCCUGGGGCCUUUCCCGCCCCGCGAGUUUUAUGACCUAGAAAACCCCACAGGCUGGUCUGAAGGUCGGAAGCCUAAUUUUAACGCGUUUUCCUUCCUUUAAUUUGAAACGGGAACGCGAAUAACUAAAAUGUAGGCACAAUAUUUAAUCUCUCGCCUUUUGAAAGCUUAACGAUGAAUAAUAGGGGGCAGUAUCAAGGGAUAAUUUGGGUCCCCACAGUACCAAAGCAUUUAGAAACCUGCUUAAUUCAAGGAAGGGGAUAAAUAACUGCUCUUCUAGACUGCCUAGCAUGGGCCGUUGUGCUGGAGAGAACGAGAAAUACGAAGAGACCAGAAUGCCUCUGACUUUUUCAUAGGACGGUUGGCCGGUGAAUCUUACUAAUAGUUUACCACAAUUCAGUGUUCACUCUUAGUCUAGAAGGGACAGGCGUUUACUGUGCAUUGGCCAGUGCCAGCACAUCCGAUGCAAGGCAUUUCACCGUAUUCUAUCUUUAAUUUUUACCAUGAUCCUCUGAGGUAGGUGUUCUUAUCUCUCUCUCUUUUUUAAACAGAGGAAGACACUUAAAGAUGAAGUGCCUAAUUCAAGGUCAUACAAUGUCGGGGAUGGACCUCCAGAUUUCCUUACUGACCUGCAUUAUCUUGUGGAUACCUGAGUGAAUUACACACCACCCAUUUUAUAGAUGAAGCCACUGACACAUGGAGCAACUGACUGAGUAGUCGCUGCCCCACCCCUGGAGCUUCACACAUGACUCGUCUCCUCUCACUCAGUGACCACAGGUGAGACAUGGUCUUGUAACACAGUAGUUAAGAAUGUGACUUUGGAGCCAGCCUGCUAAGGGAUGAAUUCUGACUCAGCCAUUUACUAACUGGGUGACCUUAGCGGGGUUCCCAAGCCUGUAAAAUGUAAGCCUCAUGCUGCUGCGGGCCAUCUUGCCACCCCGAGGGGAACGCUGCCUGAGAAUGAAACCAACAUAGGUGAAAGAACUAUCAGGAAAUGGUGUGAGGAGGGGAGCCACAUAUGAAUUUCGGCUUUAUAAAGGGAUAUGGAGAGCACAGCGGUUAGAAGUCAGGCUGGUCAUGAGCUGGUCCUGCCCUUCACUAGCCAUGGAACUUUCUAUGCCUCAGUUUCAACAACUGUAAAAUGGGAGUAGAAGACAGCUCCUGCCUCAUAGGGUUGUCAUGAAGAUUACAUGAGGCAGUGCACGUCGCACAGUUUUCCACACUCCUUGAUGGAGGUGCUUAAACCCUAUCCAUCAGCAUUCUUGGACAGCAUCUCCAGUUAGGGACAGUAUCUGACCGUCUGACAUCCCUGCACCCCCCAUACUGUCAGCCUCAGGUGGAUGGUUUCCUUAGAUGGUAGCUUUCUUUGGACCCUUGAUAUCAACCAGUUACUAUUUGGUAAGAACUUAAGUCAUUCCAGUGCCUCCCUCAGAAGCAUUUGCAUUUAGAAUUUCAGGUGUCAUAGAAAUAAUGAAAGAUGUUGCAUUCCUGAGGGAAUGAAUAAAUUAUUUAUUUCCUUGUUCUAGAACAUCAUUGCCCACUAGAAUUUUCCGUGAUGAUAGUAAUGUUCUCUGUGCUGUUCCAUGUAGUAACUGCUGGCCACGUGUGGCUAUUGAACAUUUGAGAUGUGUCCAGUGUGACUGAAGAACUGGAUUUUUUCAUUUUAAUGAAUUAAAAUUGAUUUUUUUUAAAGACAAGG